RNAcentral lists this transfer RNA (94 nucleotides) under Helianthus annuus (common sunflower). Its description in RNAcentral is "hypothetical non coding rna". The stretch from base 21 to 93 matches the Rfam family "tRNA". Rfam says of the family: Transfer RNA (tRNA) molecules are approximately 80 nucleotides in length. The record is from RNAcentral. Lineage: Eukaryota; Viridiplantae; Streptophyta; Magnoliopsida; Asterales; Asteraceae.
GACUACGUGUAACACAGAAGGCGGGGAUAGCUCAGUUGGGAGAGCGUCAGACUGAAGAUCUGAAGGUCACGUGUUCGAUCCACGUUCACCGCAU